Molecule: non-coding RNA, 351 nt
Organism: Biomphalaria pfeifferi
Lineage: Eukaryota; Metazoa; Mollusca; Gastropoda; Planorbidae
Source: the annotation of a GenBank genome assembly
CCCCCCCCCCCCACCCCGCCCCACUCCCCAUGUGUUGAUGUGAUGUCUGAAAACGUUGCAACCAAUAAUUCAUCAGAUUUUCAUAUACAUUGUACAAUAAAUCUCUAUUUUGUCAAUCUUUUCAAGUGUAAUAUUUCAGAGAUGACUUUGUUUUUGUUAUACAUCAUUUUAUGUUGGCAGUUUCAGUUUCAAGUCUUCAAAGUUUUUUAAGGGUUUUUUUUGUUGUUUUUUUUUUUUAGUUUGUUUUUGUUUGUCUGUGUUUAUUUUAGUAGAUGAACCUUGUUACAUUCCUUGUUCUUGAAAAUAGAUCAGUUAGUUGAAUACUAUUCUACUAGAGUUUGUUUUUGGGUU